CAGUUCAUCCUUACUCGCGGCAUGUAAAACAUAAUCGACAAUGAUAACGCGAGUAAUAUCGAGUGGUAUAAAUUAAUCAUUCACGACCGAGCCCGAGUGCACGGGACUCUUGUAAAUAAGAGGACGUAUGGCUCGUUAAGACAAACCUGGUAGAAUUACUUCUUGCCCAGAGCGACGAAAGAUCAAGUAGUCGCGUCCUACAUUAAGAUGGCCAAUCUUAACGAAGACACAACUGGAAACACUGAGUACAUUCUUCUGCCCGACGAUUGAGAAGUUCAUCCGCUACUUUUUGGAAGGUUUUAACACGAGCGAACAUCGGAUUCCACUUCGGCAGCUAAGAAUUGAUAUCUCGCGCUUGCUCGAGCUCGCUCAUGCGAGAGGGAUGACAAUGUGAUAUUCCACGUGUCAGCGAUCCGACCAUGUGAUCCGUCACGCGGACGAGAAAAUAUGAAAAUUAUAACCAGAACAAUGUCAAUAAUUUAUAACACUCGAAAUCCAUUGAUUUACGCAAAACAUGUUUAAUUGACAAAAUAAUUGUGGCAGUUAGCAUCACGAUAAAUAACGCACGUUUCGAAGGAAGCUGGAAAUAAAUUAUGAAUAUUUGCAUUUGUCGUUUAUGUGAAAUAUUUCAAAAUUCUGUAUAUGUCCGGAAUAAUAUUAGUAGCAAUAAAACAAAUUGUUUUUCAUGUCAUA
This is a long non-coding RNA of Pogonomyrmex barbatus (red harvester ant), 693 nucleotides long. The record is from RefSeq and is a predicted model, not a curated record. Lineage: Eukaryota; Metazoa; Arthropoda; Insecta; Hymenoptera; Formicidae.